UGAGAAACACAGAAGUGGAUGC
Molecule: unclassified non-coding RNA, 22 nt
Filed under: Mus musculus (house mouse)
Lineage: Eukaryota; Metazoa; Chordata; Mammalia; Rodentia; Muridae
Description: oocyte_clustered_small_RNA550
Source: RNAcentral